AUGUGCUGUGUUAAUGCUAGAGGUUCCUAUGUGCUGUGUUAAUGCUAGAGGUUCCCAUGUGCUGUGUUAAUGCUAGAGGUUCCUAUGUGCUGUGUUAAUGCUAGAGGUUCCCAUGUGCUGUUUUAAUGCUAGAGGUUCCCAUGUGCUGUGUUAAUGCUAGAGGUUCCCAUGUGCUGUGUUAAUGCUAGAGGUUCCCAUGUGCUGUGUUAAUGCUAGAGGUUCCCAUGUGCUGUGUUAAUGCUAGAGGUUCCCAUGUGCUGUGUUAAUGCUAGAGGUUCCCAUGUGCUGUGUUAAUGCUAGAGGUUCCCAUGUGCUGUGUUAAUGCUAGAGGUUCCCAUGUGCUGUGUUAAUGCUAGAGGUUCCCAUGUGCUGUGUUAAUGCUAGAGGUUCCCAUGUGCUGUGUUAAUGCUAGAGGUUCCCAUGUGCUGUGUUAAUGCUAGAGGUUCCCAUGUGCUGUGUUAAUGCUAGAGGUUCCCAUGUGCUGUGUUAAUGCUAGAGGUUCCCAUGUGCUGUGUUAAUGCUAGAGGUUCCCAUGUGCUGUGUUAAUGCUAGAGGUUCCCAUGUGCUGUGUUAAUGCUAGAGGUUCCCAUGUGCUGUGUUAAUGCUAGAGGUUCCCAUGUGCUGUGUUAAUGCUAGAGGUUCCCAUGUGCUGUGUUAAUGCUAGAGGUUCCCAUGUGCUGUGUUAAUGCUAGAGGUUCCCAUGUGCUGUGUUAAUGCUAGAGGUUCCUAUGUGCUGUGUUAAUGCUAGAGGUGCCCAUGUGCUGUGUUAAUGCUAGAGGUUCCCAUGUGCUGUGUUAAUGCUAGAGGUGCCCAUGUGCUGUGUUAAUGCUAGAGGUUCCUAUGUGCUGUGUUAAUGCUAGAGGUUCCUAUGUGCUGUGUUAAUGCUAGAGGUGCCCAUGUGCUGUGUUAAUGCUAGAGGUUCCCAUGUGCUGUUUAAAUGCUAGAGGUUCCCAUGUGCUGUUUUAAUGCUAGAGGUUCCUAUGUGCUGUGUUAAUGCUAGAGGGCCCAUGUGCUGUGUUAAU
Molecule: long non-coding RNA, 1022 nt
Organism: Oncorhynchus keta (chum salmon)
Lineage: Eukaryota; Metazoa; Chordata; Actinopteri; Salmoniformes; Salmonidae
Exons: 3
Source: RefSeq, a predicted model, not a curated record